UUGAAUUUACAUGGGUUGUGCUGGUUUUACAAGUGCACGCCUAUAUCAAUUUCCAUACACCUGUGCACCUUUGUAGACUUGGAGGGAGAAAUCCCUUCUGGUCUGCGUUUUAUACACUCUUUUUAUUACAUUGAAUGUUUCUUGUCUUUUGACAAACAAAUUUAUA
Molecule: unclassified non-coding RNA, 166 nt
Filed under: soil metagenome
Description: partial internal transcribed spacer 1
Source: RNAcentral